CACCUCCCUCCCUUCCACCUCCCUCCCUCCCUCCCUCCCUCCCUUCCUUCCUUCCUUCCUUCCUUCCUUCCUUCCUUCCUUCCUUCCUUCCUUCCUUCCUUCCUUCCUUCCUUCCUCCCUCCCUUUCUCCCUUUCUUUCUUUCUUUCUUUCUUUCUUUCUUUCUUUCUUUCUUUCUUUCUUUCUUUCUUUCUUUCUUUCUUUCUUUCUUUCUUUCUUUCUUUCUUUCUUUCUUUCUUUCUUUCUUUCUUUCUUUCUUUCUUUCUUUCUUUCUUUCCCUUCCUCACUUCUUUCCUUCUUUCCUUCUUUCCUUCCAUUUUGAAAUCAAUACUGU
Molecule: long non-coding RNA, 332 nt
Organism: Monodelphis domestica (gray short-tailed opossum)
Lineage: Eukaryota; Metazoa; Chordata; Mammalia; Didelphimorphia; Didelphidae
Source: Ensembl